UACAGAGGGUGCGAGCGUUAAUCGGAAUUACUGGGCGUAAAGCGCACGUAGGCGGCGACGUAAGUCGGGUGUGAAAGCCCCGGGCUCAACCUGGGAAUUGCAUUCGAGACUGCAUUGCUGGAGUACGGAAGAGGAAGGCGGAAUUCCCGGUGUAGCGGUGAAAUGCGUAGAUAUCGAGAGGAACACCUGCGGCGAAGGCGGGUUGCUGGGCCGACACUGACGCUGAUGCGCGAAAGCCAGGGGAGCGAACGGG
This 253-nucleotide ribosomal RNA is filed under the name uncultured bacterium. RNAcentral describes it as "partial 16S ribosomal RNA". It matches the Rfam family "Bacterial small subunit ribosomal RNA", at positions 524 to 776 of the family's 1533-position model. The record is from RNAcentral.